AGCAGAGUGGCUUAGUGGAAAAAGCACUGGCUUGGGAGUCAGAAGGUCAUGGGUUCUAAUCCCAGCUCCGCCA
This 73-nucleotide transfer RNA is filed under the name Ornithorhynchus anatinus (platypus). It matches the Rfam family "tRNA". Rfam says of the family: Transfer RNA (tRNA) molecules are approximately 80 nucleotides in length. Their secondary structure includes four short double-helical elements and three loops (D, anti-codon, and T loops). Lineage: Eukaryota; Metazoa; Chordata; Mammalia; Monotremata; Ornithorhynchidae. The record is from Rfam by way of RNAcentral.